GAUGAAGAACGUAGCGAAAUGCGAUAAGUAAUGUGAAUUGCAGAAUUCAGUGAAUCAUCGAAUCUUUGAACGCACAUUGCGCCCGCCAGUAUUCUGGCGGGCAUGCCUGUUCGAGCGUCAUUACAACCCUCAGGCCCCCGGGCCUGGCGUUGGGGAUCGGCGGAAGCCCCCUGCGGGCACAACGCCGUCCCCCAAAUACAGUGGCGGUCCCGCCGCAGCUUCCAUUGCGUAGUAGCUAACACCUCGCACCUGGAGAGCGGCGCGGCCACGCCGUAAAACACCCAACUUCUGAAUGUUGACCUCGAAUCAGGUAGGAAUACCCGCUGAACUUAAGCAUAUCAAUAAGCGGAGGA
RNAcentral lists this unclassified non-coding RNA (353 nucleotides) under soil metagenome. RNAcentral describes it as "partial contains 5.8S ribosomal RNA, internal transcribed spacer 2, and large subunit ribosomal RNA". The stretch from base 1 to 120 matches the Rfam family "5.8S ribosomal RNA", at positions 35 to 154 of the family's 154-position model. The record is from RNAcentral.